Molecule: unclassified non-coding RNA, 349 nt
Filed under: soil metagenome
Description: partial contains 5.8S ribosomal RNA, internal transcribed spacer 2, and large subunit ribosomal RNA
Rfam family: 5.8S ribosomal RNA (bases 1-120)
Source: RNAcentral
GAUGAAGAACGUAGCGAAAUGCGAAAAGUAAUGUGAAUUGCAGAAUUCAGUGAAUCAUCGAAUCUUUGAACGCUCAUUGCGCCGGCCAGUACUCUGGCGGGCAUGCCUGUCUGAGCGUCAUUUCAACCCUCACGCCCCUAGGGCGUGGUGUUGGGGAUCGGCCAGCGCCCUCGCGGGCGAGGCCGUCCCCUAAAUCUAGUGGCGGACCCGUCGUGGCCUCCCCUGCGAAGUAGUGAUAUUCCGCAUAGGAGAGCGACGAGCCCCUGCCGUUAAACCCCCAACUUUCUCAGGUUGACCUCAGAUCAGGUAGGAAUACCCGCUGAACUUAAGCAUAUCAAUAAGCGGAGGA